RNAcentral lists this ribosomal RNA (253 nucleotides) under uncultured bacterium. Its description in RNAcentral is "partial 16S ribosomal RNA". It matches the Rfam family "Bacterial small subunit ribosomal RNA", at positions 524 to 776 of the family's 1533-position model. The record is from RNAcentral.
UACAGAGGGUGCGAGCGUUGUUCGGAAUCAUUGGGCGUAAAGCGCUUGUAGGCGGCCUGUCAAGUCGCGUGUGAAAUCCCUUGGCUUAACCAAGGAAGUGCGCGCGAAACUGGCGGGCUUGAGUGCCGGAGAGGGUCGCGGAAUUCCCGGUGUAGAGGUGAAAUGCGUAGAUAUCGGGAGGAAUACCAGUGGCGAAGGCGGCUUCCUGGCCUGUUCUUGACGCUGAGGCGCGAAAGCUAGGGUAGCAAACGGG